This 418-nucleotide ribosomal RNA is filed under the name Salmonella enterica. RNAcentral describes it as "partial 23S ribosomal RNA". It matches the Rfam family "Bacterial large subunit ribosomal RNA", at positions 207 to 666 of the family's 2925-position model. The record is from RNAcentral. Lineage: Bacteria; Pseudomonadati; Pseudomonadota; Gammaproteobacteria; Enterobacterales; Enterobacteriaceae.
UACCCCGAGGAAAAGAAAUCAACCGAGAUUCCCCCAGUAGCGGCGAGCGAACGGGGAGGAGCCCAGAGCCUGAAUCAGCAUGUGUGUUAGUGGAAGCGUCUGGAAAGGCGCGCGAUACAGGGUGACAGCCCCGUACACAAAAGCGCAUGUGCUGUGAGCUCGAUGAGUAGGGCGGGACACGUGGUAUCCUGUCUGAAUAUGGGGGGACCAUCCUCCAAGGCUAAAUACUCCUGACUGACCGAUAGUGAACCAGUACCGUGAGGGAAAGGCGAAAAGAACCCCGGCGAGGGGAGUGAAAAAGAACCUGAAACCGUGUACGUACAAGCAGUGGGAGCACCCUUUGGGGUGUGACUGCGUACCUUUUGUAUAAUGGGUCAGCGACUUAUAUUCUGUAGCAAGGUUAACCGAAUAGGGGAGC